GACGAACCGUGCGAACGUUGUUCGGAAUCACUGGGCUUAAAGGGCGCGUAGGCGGGCUGUCAAGUCGGUGGUGAAAUCUUUCGGCUCAACCGGAAAAUCGCCUCCGAUACUGGCGGCCUUGAGGGGGGUAGGGGCAUGUGGAACUUCCGGUGGAGCGGUGAAAUGCGUAGAUAUCGGAAGGAACGCCGGUGGCGAAAGCGACGUGCUGGACCCUUUCUGACGCUGAGGCGCGAAAGCCAGGGGAGCAAACGG
RNAcentral lists this ribosomal RNA (252 nucleotides) under uncultured bacterium. RNAcentral describes it as "partial 16S ribosomal RNA". It matches the Rfam family "Bacterial small subunit ribosomal RNA", at positions 524 to 775 of the family's 1533-position model. The record is from RNAcentral.